CUGUAUUAACCAAUUGUGAUUUUCCACAAAAGAGGAAAAUCAUAGAGGACUCUAAUAUUGGGAGAGAAGAGGUAGGGAGAGUUUGUGAGUCUCAGAGUUGGCCAAGUAACACUAAACAAUGAUUGGAUAUUUCAUCGUUGGACUUUCCACUCCUUUUAAUGGCAGUUUAGCUGAAGCCUUACAGUGAAGUUUCUACUUGUCCUUCAGGAACUUCCUCUGAAAAUAAGCAAUACAGAUCAGUACAUUUUCCCACAAAAGUGAUGAUCAACCCAAGGCCUGGAUCCAGAUAAGAUUGGUUUUGUUGAUAGGGGAAUACGAAGGAAGCUAGAAAUGGAAAGCCCUGUGGCAUGAGUGGGAUGCUGCUUAUACUUUCUGGAUCACAGCAAAAGUCUGACAUUUAGAAAUAACUCAUCUGGAAUACUAAGGGCUCUACUUACAAUUGUGGAAUUCUUGG
Sceloporus undulatus (fence lizard) is the source of this 454-nucleotide long non-coding RNA. RefSeq lists it as uncharacterized. The record is from RefSeq and is a predicted model, not a curated record. NCBI's taxonomy places the organism in Eukaryota, Metazoa, Chordata, Lepidosauria, Squamata, Phrynosomatidae. The transcript is spliced from 3 exons.